AUUGAACGCUGGCGGCAUGCCUAACACAUGCAAGUCGAACGGUAGCAGGACUGGCUUGCCAGUUGCUGACGAGUGGCGGACGGGUGAGUAAUGCGUAGGGAUCUGCCUUUGAGAGUGGGACAACUAGGGGAAACUUUAGCUAAUACCGCAUAUAGCCUAAGGGUGAAAGCAGGGGACCUUCGGGCCUUGCGGUGAAAGAUGAAACUACGUCGGAUUAGCUAGUUGGUAGGGUAAAGGCCUACCAAGGCGACGAUCCGUAACUGGUCUGAGAGGAUGACCAGUCACACUGGGACUGAGACACGGCCCAGACUCCUACGGGAGGCAGCAGUGGGGAAUAUUGGACAAUGGGGGCAACCCUGAUCCAGCAAUGCCGCGUGUGUGAAGAAGGCCUGCGGGUUGUAAAGCACUUUGAUUGGGGAGGAAGUAUUUUAUUUUAAUAAAGUAGAGUAUUGACGUUACCCAAAGAACAAGCACCGGCUAACUCUGUGCCAGCCGCCGCGGUAA
Molecule: ribosomal RNA, 504 nt
Filed under: uncultured bacterium
Lineage: Bacteria
Description: partial 16S ribosomal RNA
Rfam family: Bacterial small subunit ribosomal RNA
Source: RNAcentral